GAUGAACGCUGGCGGUAUGCUUAACACAUGCAAGUCGAACGGACUCUUCGGAGUUAGUGGCGGACGGGUGAGUAACGCGUGAGAAUCUGGCUUUGGGUUCGGGACAACCACUGGAAACGGUGGCUAAUACCGGAUGUGCCGAGAGGUAAAAGAGAAAUUGCCUGAAGAUGAGCUCGCGUCUGAUUAGCUAGUUGGUGAGGUAAAGGCUCACCAAGGCAGCGAUCAGUAGCUGGUCUGAGAGGAUGACCAGCCACACUGGGACUGAGACACGGCCCAGACUCCUACGGGAGGCAGCAGUGGGGAAUUUUCCGCAAUGGGCGAAAGCCUGACGGAGCAAUACCGAGUGAGGGAAGAAGGCUCUUGGGUUGUAAACCUCUUUUCUUAGGGAAGAACAAAAUGACGGUACCUAAGGAAUCAGCAUCGGCUAACUCCGUG
RNAcentral lists this ribosomal RNA (435 nucleotides) under uncultured bacterium. RNAcentral describes it as "partial 16S ribosomal RNA". It matches the Rfam family "Bacterial small subunit ribosomal RNA", at positions 28 to 507 of the family's 1533-position model. The record is from RNAcentral.